This 430-nucleotide ribosomal RNA is filed under the name bacterium. Its description in RNAcentral is "partial 16S ribosomal RNA". It matches the Rfam family "Bacterial small subunit ribosomal RNA", at positions 355 to 776 of the family's 1533-position model. The record is from RNAcentral.
UAGGGAAUCUUCCGCAAUGGACGAAAGUCUGACGGAGCGACGCCGCGUGAGCGAAGAAGGUCUUCGGAUCGUAAAGCUCUGUUGUUAGGGAAGAAGAAGUGCCGUUCGAACAGGGCGGCACGGUGACGGUACCUAACGAGAAAGCCCCGGCUAACUACGUGCCAGCAGCCGCGGUAAUACGUAGGGGGCGAGCGUUGUCCGGAAUUUUUGGGCGUAAAGCGCGCGCAGGCGGUCCCUUAAGUCUGAUGUGAAAGCCCACGGCUUAACCGUGGAGGGUCAUUGGAAACUGGGUGACUUGAGUGCAGAAGAGGAGAGCGGAAUUCCACGUGUAGCGGUGAAAUGCGUAGAGAUGUGGAGGAACACCAGUGGCGAAGGCGGCUCUCUGGUCUGUAACUGACGCUGAGGCGCGAAAGCGUGGGGAGCAAACAGG